UAGACGCUACGGACUUAAAAUCCGUCGACUUUAUAAGUCGUGAGGGUUCAAGUCCCUCUAUCCCCA
This 66-nucleotide transfer RNA is filed under the name Urochloa polystachya. Its description in RNAcentral is "Eriochloa polystachya partial tRNA-Leu". It matches the Rfam family "tRNA", at positions 19 to 71 of the family's 71-position model. From Rfam's summary of the family: Transfer RNA (tRNA) molecules are approximately 80 nucleotides in length. Their secondary structure includes four short double-helical elements and three loops (D, anti-codon, and T loops). Lineage: Eukaryota; Viridiplantae; Streptophyta; Magnoliopsida; Poales; Poaceae. The record is from RNAcentral. RNAcentral also lists the same sequence under 2 other names.